Triticum aestivum (bread wheat) is the source of this 125-nucleotide non-coding RNA. Lineage: Eukaryota; Viridiplantae; Streptophyta; Magnoliopsida; Poales; Poaceae. The record is from Rfam.
UUAGUACUCCCUCCGUCCGGAAAUACUUGUCGGCGAAGUGGAUGUAUCUAGACUUAUUUUAGUUCUAGAUACGCCCAUUUCUAUCCAUUUAUGCGACAGGUAAUUCCGAACAGAGGGAGUAAUAA